AGGACUGAUCUCUGUGCUAUGCCUCUGGAAGACAUUCAAGAGCUUUGUACAGUGUACUUACAUAACAGUAUUCUGUUCCAUUUGAUGAAAGCAUCUUCCCACAUCUUUUAUCGAGAACGCUGGCAUUUUUGGACUCUGGUAUUGCUGUCACCUCAAACCCUGUAUUCAAUAGCUCUCAAAAGACCUGUACCUUCGUGUUUUUUCCAGUGUUACCUGUGUAAAUGCAUGUAAGUCCUUUUGGGUAAGGACUGGGGAAAUAUUUUGUACAUACUACUGUGGGGAUGCAGGGUCCUUCCUUAAGAGUGUCUGACCUCUGCUUCAAUUGAUGGACUCUGUGUCUAAGAACUGGCUCAAGUCCGGAAACAGCUUGUGAUUUUUAGAUUGCAUCACUUGAUAUCAGCCUUCUGUUUUCCAUCUCAAAGCAUUUUAAAAAAUUACAUAAGUCAAGCAACAUUCUAAUUGUUUUCCAUCGGUUUCACUCCUGUGAAUACCAUGGUAUUUUAGCCAUAGUGAAGAUCCCAAUGGGUUAGGUGCCAUGGUUGCCAUUCUCUUUUGCUGUCCAUUAACAUAAUCAUCUCCACCUUUCCUCUGACUGUUACGUAGCAUAAUUUGGACUCUGCUGUUCUGGAAUUCUAUCAUCCAUAUUGACACUAGGGAGCCUAGUUUGUAAUGGUAUCCUCCAUCAUUCAUUCAAGCCUACAGGGGACAGACUGUGCCUCCCCGACUUGUGCAUUUUUUUAUUGCUUUAAUAAAUUCUAGUGUCCUCUGCUCCCUCCCAGGACACAUAGUGAACUGGUGAUUCUCUGAUUUUAUAUAACAAAUCCAUUUUAGUAAGGAUACCUCCUCUCUGAGUUUUCUAACUCCUUCUUUUGUAUACUGACAAGGAAAUUUCAGGAGCUACACUUUAUUUACUAUAGGCUAACAGUUCUCAAAACUAUUUGGUCUUGAGACCCAUUUACACUUUUACAAUGUCUGAGAACUGUGAAUAGUUUUUGCCUAUGUGGGUUAUGCCUACCAAUAUUUACCAUAUUGGAAAUUAAACGAAAAUAUUAAAAUACAUUUGUCUUAAUUCAUUUUAAAAUGACAAAAUAAGUCAAUUACAGGUAAACAUAUCUAAUAUAUUUUUAUAAAUUAGAAAAAUUAUUUUACCUUACGU
This 1156-nucleotide long non-coding RNA is filed under the name Homo sapiens (human). Its description in RNAcentral is "HSALNT0219789". Lineage: Eukaryota; Metazoa; Chordata; Mammalia; Primates; Hominidae. The record is from RNAcentral.